GUACACGAGCGGCGAACGGGUGAGUAACACGUGAGCAACCUGCCCCUGACUCUGGGAUAAGCGGUGGAAACGCCGUCUAAUACCGGAUACGACCUUCCGCCUCAUGGUGGAGGGUGGAAAGUUUUUUCGGUCAGGGAUGGGCUCGCGGCCUAUCAGCUUGUUGGUGGGGUAACGGCCUACCAAGGCGAUUACGGGUAGCCGGCCUGAGAGGGCGACCGGCCACACUGGGACUGAGACACGGCCCAGACUCCUGCGGGAGGCAGCAGUGGGGAAUAUUGCGCAAUGGGCGAAAGCCUGACGCAGCGACGCCGCGUGGGGGAUGACGGCCUUCGGGUUGUAAACCUCUUUUACCACCAACGCAGGCUCCGGGUUCUCUCGGGGUUGACGGUAGGUGGGGAAUAAGGACCGGCUAACUACGUGCCAGCAGCCGCGGUAAUACGUAGGGUCCGAGCGUUGUCCGGAAUUAUUGGGCGUAAAGAGCUCGUAGGCGGCGUGUCGCGUCUGCUGUGAAAGACCGGGGCUUAACUCCGGUUCUGCAGUGGAUACGGGCAUGCUAGAGGUAGGUAGGGGAGACUGGAAUUCCUGGUGUAGCGGUGAAAUGCGCAGAUAUCAGGAGGAACACCGGUGGCGAAGGCGGGUCUCUGGGCCUUACCUGACGCUGAGGAGCGAAAGCAUGGGGAGCGAACAGGAUUAGAUACCCUGGUAGUCCAUGCCGUAAACGUUGGGCGCUAGGUGUGGGGACUUUCCACGGUUUCCGCGCCGUAGCUAACGCAUUAAGCGCCCCGCCUGGGGAGUACGGCCGCAAGGCUAAAACUCAAAGGAAUUGACGGGGGCCCGCACAAGCGGCGGAGCAUGUUGCUUAAUUCGACGCAACGCGAAGAACCUUACCAAGGUUUGACAUCACCCGUGGACCUGUAGAGAUACAGGGUCAUUUAGUUGGUGGGUGACAGGUGGUGCAUGGCUGUCGUCAGCUCGUGUCGUGAGAUGUUGGGUUAAGUCCCGCAACGAGCGCAACCCUUGUUCCAUGUUGCCAGCACGUAAUGGUGGGGACUCAUGGGAGACUGCCGGGGUCAACUCGGAGGAAGGUGGGGACGACGUCAAGUCAUCAUGCCCCUUAUGUCUUGGGCUGCAAACAUGCUACAAUGGCCGGUACAAUGGGCGUGCGAUACCG
RNAcentral lists this ribosomal RNA (1171 nucleotides) under Nocardiopsis alba. Its description in RNAcentral is "bacterial SSU rRNA". It matches the Rfam family "Bacterial small subunit ribosomal RNA", at positions 87 to 1257 of the family's 1533-position model. The record is from RNAcentral. Lineage: Bacteria; Bacillati; Actinomycetota; Actinomycetes; Streptosporangiales; Nocardiopsidaceae.